This 496-nucleotide long non-coding RNA is filed under the name Bos grunniens (domestic yak). RNAcentral's name for it is "lncRNA (ENSBGRG00000016388.1)". Lineage: Eukaryota; Metazoa; Chordata; Mammalia; Artiodactyla; Bovidae. The record is from RNAcentral.
AGCAUUCUCACCUGUUAAAUAUCAGUAGUUCGAACCUCCCUGUCUCAGCAUUCUCACCUGUUAAAUAUCAGUAGUUCCGAACCUCCCUGUCUCAGCAUCCUCACCUGUUAAAAUAUCAGUAGUUCCCGAACCUCCCUGUCUCAGCAUCCUCACCUGUUAAAUAUCAGUAGUUCCCGAACCUCCCUGUCUCAGCGUCCUCACCCAUUAAAAUAUCAGUAGGACAAGUACCAAAGUACCGCUUUGUUCCAGGAAUUCACUGGUUAACUUGCGUAACAUAUUUUAAACAGAGCCUGACAUGAGACCCAGUCCGUUUCCAGCAUCGUCCAGUAGAACUUUCUGCGGUCCCGGAGGUGUGUGAGCGGUCCCGUUACGGCAGCCACCAGCUGUGGGCUGGUGUGACCGAGGGCGUCUGAUAGGGUCUGACUGUCGCUGACUUGUAAACAUCGAUGCCACCCAGCUUCAGUCCUUUACAUCCCAGCCCAUCAUGACGUUAGUG